AUGGCGCAAGGUGGAGCUGGGUUGCGGCUGUUGGCCUGCGGCUGCGUGGCGAAGGUGCAGGUCCGAUCUGGGCCAUCACGUGGGGGUCGCGGCGCGGCUCUUGCCGGUGGCCGUGCCUACGUGCGGCACCUUCUGGCUGCUUGGCAUUACAUCCCCUCACGUGGUGGUCGUGGGGAGUCUCCUGACUCUCUGUUGGCGGCUUCUCCGGGUGGCCAGAUCUGGGCCGUGCGGGUCCACGGCCGGCGAGGGUGGUGGUGGUGUGGCCACGGUCGUCCUGGCUGGUGGUGGCGGUGGUGUGGUGUUUGGCGCUAUGGCGGUGCAGACCUGCAGCUGUGUUGGAUGUCUCGGCAAUCGGCCACAGUGCAAUGGGAGGGCGUCGUUGCAGAUCGGGGGGUAACCCCUGCUCCGUCAGGAUCCAGCGAUGGCGACGCCUGUGGGCGUCGCAAUCCUUCUUAG
This 456-nucleotide ribosomal RNA is filed under the name Triticum aestivum (bread wheat). RNAcentral's name for it is "partial small subunit ribosomal RNA". Lineage: Eukaryota; Viridiplantae; Streptophyta; Magnoliopsida; Poales; Poaceae. The record is from RNAcentral.